RNAcentral lists this small RNA (1663 nucleotides) under Pyricularia oryzae. RNAcentral describes it as "Magnaporthe oryzae sRNA M_BR32_EuGene_00074861". The record is from RNAcentral. Lineage: Eukaryota; Fungi; Ascomycota; Sordariomycetes; Magnaporthales; Pyriculariaceae.
UAUCGAAUAAAGGGACUAUCCUUCGAAAAGGAAGAUAAGGUUUACUUUAUUCGACGUAAUAUUAAAAUAUAACGAUUUAACAGCAAAUUCGAUUUGAAGAAGUUUGGACUUUUUAAAAUUAGUAAAAAAAUUAACGAUAUUAAUUACAAAUUGUUAUUACUAAAUAUUAUAAAUAUUUACCCCAUAUUUUACGUAUUAUUAUUGGAACCGGCACUAUACGGUACCAAUAUAUAAAAAACGAUCGAAAUCGACGUAAAACAAACCUACGACGUUAAACGAAUAUUCGACUAUAAACGAAAUUACGGCAAAAUAAAAUAUUUUGUUAAAUGGGAAAAUUAUGGAUAUGAAAAAAACAUUUGGGAAUUUUUUAACCAUUUUGAAAAUUGUUAAAAACCGCUUUACUAAUAUUAUUAGGAGUUAAAUUUGCGAGCAAAUUAGCUAAAAAAGGACGAUUUAAAAAAGUGCCAUUUACCAUUUCUAAAAGUUAAAAAUCGACCAAAAUUCGAAAUUACACCACCAAACGAACCUACGAAAAAAACAAUUAAUAUAUACCACGAACCGGAAUAUACGAAUUAAGUAAUUUACCAAUUAAAUGCUGCGUAAAAACAUUUAUUUUAUCCAACAGAAAAGUAUUUAAAGGAUUUAUCGGGAAAGUCGAAUCCCAGACAAAAUUGGAAUCCGGAAAAAAUAACUCCAAAAACAUUUUAAAAAGGAUUUCGAUUGAUCGCCUUCGCUUUUUUUGCUUGGCUUUUUUACGUUCCACCCGAUCCAAUUUUUCCAAAUUGUUAAUAUUACGACAAACCGCUUUUAUCAGUUUUUAAACCCAUAUUUUCUUUCAAUUUUUAAAACGCAAAAGUUUUUAACGUUUAACCGCUAACUUUUGCUCCUGUUUUAAUAACCGCAAUUUUUAAACCUCGACGUCGGUAUCCAAUUUGGAAUGUUGGACGGCCAAACGGUAAAGCUGCUUCCGCGAAAUACCCAUUAUAUUAUAUCGCGAACGAUUUAAACGGACGUAUUCGACAUAACGAAAGGAAUCGCAAAGCGAUAUAACGCAUUUUACAAUCUUGCGAUUUGUAAAUAGAAUAAAAAAAUAUUUCGACCGUUAAAAAAAAAGCACAAAAAGCAAAUCGUCGCGACGAACGGUGGAAAAACGACCGCGAAAUUUGUUAAUUCGAUUAAAUAUAGCGUAAAAGAAUUAGCAAAAAAGGAACGAAACCAAAAGUAGAAAUUAGGGGAAUACAGACUAUUUAAAGGCUAAAGGGAUUUGGCCAAAAGGAAAGGAAAUUUAAUAUUACGACCAAAUAAAUUGGACCAGCACCGAAAAAGUUAAAUGGGGUUACACCCUUUUUAACGACAAUUGACUAGGGAUAGUACCGACCGGUAAAAACAGGAUUAUACAAAAAAAAGGUCACGUAACCGCACGUGACCAAGAAAAGGUGCUAUAAUUAAUAGCUGCUAAAAAUUAUAUAGCAUUUAUAGCAAAUAAUAAAAGUGAUAUAACCGUUCACCAAUAUAUCCGAUAUAACAAACAUAUUACUACUAAUAACAACGGAUUAUAUAAAGUACGUUUAUUACCAUAUAGAUAAAUUCGAUUUUAAAAUUGUUUAGCAGCAAUUAAAUUUUAGUUAACUUUAAUAUUUGUUUGAAAACGAUUAUAACUUUA